UGCAAGUCGAACGGUGAAGCCCAGCUUGCUGGGUGGAUCAGUGGCGAACGGGUGAGUAACACGUGAGCAACCUGCCCCCUACUUCGGGAUAAGCCUUGGAAACGAGGUCUAAUACCGGAUAUGAGCACUUACCGCAUGGUGGGUGUUGGAAAGUUUUUCGGUGGGGGAUGGGCUCGCGGCCUAUCAGCUUGUUGGUGGGGUAAUGGCCUACCAAGGCGUCGACGGGUAGCCGGCCUGAGAGGGCGACCGGCCACACUGGGACUGAGACACGGCCCAGACUCCUACGGGAGGCAGCAGUGGGGAAUAUUGCACAAUGGGCGAAAGCCUGAUGCAGCGACGCCACGUGAGGGAUGACGGCCUUCGGGUUGUAAACCUCUUUCAGCAGGGAAGAAGCGAAAGUGACGGUACCUGCAGAAGAAGCGCCGGCUAACUACGUGCCAGCAGCCGCGGUAAUACGUAGGGCGCAAGCGUUGUCCGGAAUUAUUGGGCGUAAAGAGCUCGUAGGCGGUCUGUCGCGUCUGGUGUGAAAUCCCAUGGCUCAACUGUGGGCUUGCAUCGGGUACGGGCAGACUAGAGUGCUGUAGGGGAGACUGGAAUUCCUGGUGUAGCGGUGGAAUGCGCAGAUAUCAGGAGGAACACCGAUGGCGAAGGCAGGUCUCUGGGCAGUUACUGACGCUGAGGAGCGAAAGCAUGGGGAGCGAACAGGAUUAGAUACCCUGGUAGUCCAUGCCGUAAACGUUGGGCACUAGGUGUGGGGCGGGUUCCACUCGUUCUGUGCCGCAGCUAACGCAUUAAGUGCCCCGCCUGGGGAGUACGGCCGCAAGGCUAAAACUCAAAGGAAUUGACGGGGGCCCGCACAAGCGGCGGAGCAUGCGGAUUAAUUCGAUGCAACGCGAAGAACCUUACCAAGG
RNAcentral lists this ribosomal RNA (911 nucleotides) under Promicromonospora sp. FXJ2.019. RNAcentral describes it as "bacterial SSU rRNA". It matches the Rfam family "Bacterial small subunit ribosomal RNA", at positions 56 to 979 of the family's 1533-position model. The record is from RNAcentral. Lineage: Bacteria; Bacillati; Actinomycetota; Actinomycetes; Micrococcales; Promicromonosporaceae.